RNAcentral lists this ribosomal RNA (446 nucleotides) under uncultured bacterium. RNAcentral's name for it is "partial 16S ribosomal RNA". It matches the Rfam family "Bacterial small subunit ribosomal RNA", at positions 29 to 523 of the family's 1533-position model. The record is from RNAcentral.
AACGAACGCUGGCGGCAGGCUUAACACAUGCAAGUCGAACGCCCCGCAAGGGGAGUGGCAGACGGGUGAGUAACACGUGGGAACCUUCCUAGAGGUACGGAACAACUCAGGGAAACUUGAGCUAAUACCGUAUACGCUCUUGCGAGGAAAGAUUUAUCGCCUUUAGACGGGCCCGCGUCGGAUUAGCUAGUUGGUGGGGUAACGGCCUACCAAGGCGACGAUCCGUAGCUGAUCUGAGAGGAUGAUCAGCCACACUGGGACUGAGACACGGCCCAGACUCCUACGGGAGGCAGCAGUGGGGAAUCUUGGACAAUGGGCGCAAGCCUGAUCCAGCCGUGCCGCGUGAGUGAAGAAGGCCUCCGGGUUGUAAAGCUCUUUUACCAGGGACGAUAUGACGGUACCUGGAGAAUAAGCCCCGGCAAACUUCGUGCCAGCCGCCGCCGUAA